Molecule: ribosomal RNA, 253 nt
Filed under: uncultured bacterium
Lineage: Bacteria
Description: partial 16S ribosomal RNA
Rfam family: Bacterial small subunit ribosomal RNA
Source: RNAcentral
UACGGAGGAUGCAAGCGUUAUCCGGAAUGAUUGGGCGUAAAGCGUCCGCAGGUGGCAAUGUAAGUCUGCUGUCAAAGCGUCUGGCUCAACCAGAUAAAGGCAGUGGAAACUACAUAGCUAGAGUAAGGUAGGGGUAGAGGGAAUUCCUGGUGUAGCGGUGAAAUGCGCAGAUAUCAGGAAGAACACCCGUGGCGAAGGCGGUUCUCUGGGACGGUACUGACGCUGAGACGCGAAAGCGUGGGGAGCGAACAGG